AAAAAGGGUCUGACGACUGCCCAAACCACACCGUGAACCAUUUUUCUUAUUGAUGCUCUGGCAGGCCGCCCGCUGGGGGGGCUCAGGCCGCGGUUUCGCGGUGGUCUGCCGGUGGCUCGCAAACCAAAACUCUUUUGAACGUCUCCCUGAGAAUAUCUAACUCCUCUUAGCGGGAGAAAAAAAAAGUCA
RNAcentral lists this unclassified non-coding RNA (189 nucleotides) under soil metagenome. Its description in RNAcentral is "partial internal transcribed spacer 1". The record is from RNAcentral.